Molecule: non-coding RNA, 1295 nt
Organism: Physcomitrium patens
Lineage: Eukaryota; Viridiplantae; Streptophyta; Bryopsida; Funariales; Funariaceae
Source: RefSeq, a predicted model, not a curated record
UCCUCUUUCUCCCUCUUAGAGGCCCUCUCUCUCUUUCUCUGUAGGAGUGUAGUCUCUUUUUUUUCUCCUUAGGAUGGUAGGUUACUAGAUAUUCUCUCUUGUAUUUGAGUCUUAUUGAAAGCCCUUGGCGGUGCCGGCCAAAAGGCUUGAAUUAUUGGCUUUAAUACAAAGUUCAAUAUUGUUUUAUUGUAGAUAUCUCUUCUAGCUUCUCAUAGCCGUUUUCCGUUUGAGAUUUGGACAAAAAUACAAUGAGAUAUGAAUUUUCAAAAGUAAAGAAGAAAGUAAGGUGUUUUUUGGGGCGGCUGCUGGAUCUGACUUUCAGGCCUGAGGUAAGCUUCUACCCCUAAUUUUAUAUUUUCUCCUUUUAGAUCUGUUUAUUAGCUUUCUAUUGCCGUUUGGAAUUUGUGAUUUGGUUUAGUAAUGAAUUAGAUAUGAAAUUCCAAAGUUUGGAUGCCUAGUUUUGGUGUUGUUUCUACCAUUGUGCGUUGAAUUAGAGCUGUCAGUGGAAAGUGAGAGUGAACGUCAAGUUUAAUAUUUUUACCUUGUAGAUGACUUAAGUGGCUUUUCAAAUCUAUAUUGCAUGUUGAAUUUGACUGAGAAUCGAAUUAUUUAUGAAUUUUCAAAGUCCAUCCAUAGUUUUGGGUGGCUAUCUCGACUAGCCGUGUUGGAGCAAGGCUGCGAAAUCAAGAUUUGAUAGAGAUCAUUUGGAGGUUGGAGCUCGUGAUUUGGAGGUUGGAGCUUGUCAUAUGGAGGUUGGAACUUGUCAUUUGGAGAUUGGAGCUUAUGUAUGUAGGCGCAAUUUCUAUAACAACUUACUUCUUUGUGAGGUUCAAUCUUACCUUACACUAUCAUAUAUUAAUUUUUUAUAUGGUUACUAUUGCUUCAAUUUUUCACAUUAUUUUUAUUACUUUUGUAUUUUAUGUCCUUUAUUAUUUCAAUAUACCCAAUUCCUUGGAAUCCCUUCCUAUGCAACUACUUCAUAUUCUUAUCAUAUCAUUGUUUGAUCAAAAGUAAUUGUAAGUUUGGUUUAAUUAUCAAACUAUUGUUGUAAUAAAGUCAUUAUUGUUUCACUUUGAUUAUUUUAUAUGUCUAUAAUAGAAUAAUGUUUUUCAACUAUAAAUCCUUAUAGCAUUUUAGCUUUUGGUUUUAAACAUUUCUACUUUUGGUUUUUGGAGAAAAUAAUAUUUUUUUAUUGUAAAAAAUAUAUCAAUGAUACAAGAAGCUUGAAAUAAAAAAAAGUUGGUAUUCAAGGGUGUUGAUUAAAUUACACUUGAAUAGCAAUGCAAAUUUUUGUC